This 253-nucleotide ribosomal RNA is filed under the name uncultured bacterium. RNAcentral's name for it is "partial 16S ribosomal RNA". It matches the Rfam family "Bacterial small subunit ribosomal RNA", at positions 524 to 776 of the family's 1533-position model. The record is from RNAcentral.
UACGGAGGGGACUAGCGUUGUUCGGAAUUACUGGGCGUAAAGCGCACGUAGGCGGAUUUGUAAGUCAGGGGUGAAAUCCCGGGGCUCAACCUCGGAACUGCCUUUGAUACUGCAAAUCUCGAGUCCGGAAGAGGUGAGUGGAAUUCCUAGUGUAGAGGUGAAAUUCGUAGAUAUUAGGAGGAACACCAGUGGCGAAGGCGGCUCACUGGUCCGGUACUGACGCUGAGGUGCGAAAGCGUGGGGAGCAAACAGG